RNAcentral lists this ribosomal RNA (253 nucleotides) under uncultured bacterium. Its description in RNAcentral is "partial 16S ribosomal RNA". It matches the Rfam family "Bacterial small subunit ribosomal RNA", at positions 524 to 776 of the family's 1533-position model. The record is from RNAcentral.
UACGUAGGGUGCGAGCGUUAAUCGGAAUUACUGGGCGUAAAGCGUGCGCAGGCGGUUCGUUAAGUCAGCUGUGAAAGCCCCGGGCUCAACCUGGGAACUGCGGUUGAAACUGGCGAACUAGAAUCUGGCAGAGGGGGGUGGAAUUCCACGUGUAGCAGUGAAAUGCGUAGAGAUGCGGAGGAACACCGAUGGCGAAGGCAGCCCCCUGGGCUGAGAUUGACGCUCAGGCACGAAAGCGUGGGGAGCAAACAGG